CGGGAUGUGGCGCAGUCCGGUUAGCGCACACGCCUGGGGGGCGUGGGGUCGCAGGUUCAAAUCCUGUCAUCCCGA
This 75-nucleotide transfer RNA is filed under the name Flavobacteriaceae bacterium. Its description in RNAcentral is "tRNA-Pro". It matches the Rfam family "tRNA". From Rfam's summary of the family: Transfer RNA (tRNA) molecules are approximately 80 nucleotides in length. Their secondary structure includes four short double-helical elements and three loops (D, anti-codon, and T loops). Lineage: Bacteria; Pseudomonadati; Bacteroidota; Flavobacteriia; Flavobacteriales; Flavobacteriaceae. The record is from RNAcentral.